Molecule: non-coding RNA, 31 nt
Filed under: unclassified sequences
Description: L31-Coriobacteria ribosomal protein leader
Rfam family: L31-Coriobacteria ribosomal protein leader
Source: RNAcentral
GGCCUGGUCGGAAACCAGGCCACCUAUGGAG